AAAAGAUAGCAUAAGCUUGGUAGUGCGUAAGGUUUUGAUCCUUAAUGGUACAGGUUCAGAUCCUGUUUUUUUA
RNAcentral lists this transfer RNA (73 nucleotides) under Goniurosaurus lichtenfelderi. RNAcentral describes it as "tRNA-Gln". It matches the Rfam family "tRNA". From Rfam's summary of the family: Transfer RNA (tRNA) molecules are approximately 80 nucleotides in length. Lineage: Eukaryota; Metazoa; Chordata; Lepidosauria; Squamata; Eublepharidae. The record is from RNAcentral.